This is a long non-coding RNA of Cavia porcellus (domestic guinea pig), 3234 nucleotides long. RefSeq lists it as uncharacterized. The record is from RefSeq and is a predicted model, not a curated record. NCBI's taxonomy places the organism in Eukaryota, Metazoa, Chordata, Mammalia, Rodentia, Caviidae. The transcript is spliced from 4 exons.
AGAAACAGAAGCAGGGAGGGAUAAAGAGAGGAAGGGAAGGAGGAAAGGAGGGGGAAGGAGGGAGGAAGGGAAAGAGAGACACAGAGACAGAGAAUGUUUUCUAGCAGUGGGGCUUGAAGGACAAGAAGGGAUGGACGGAGGAGGAGCCAGAGGGGAGGUUUCCCAGGACACUGACCAGGACAGAGGUGGGCGACCCAGGAUAGCAGUGAGGGAAGGCUGGAACAAGGUGACAGGCUGGCUUGAGACAAGGUGGGCCUGAUGAAACUGUCCAUAAGACUGAGGAAGUAGGAGAUGCUAAACGCACUCAGAGGGAUUUACCUUUACAGAUCUUAAAAUUCGAGCAACUCCCCAUAAUGCUGUGAGUAGUGGACAGUGUGAGGGAAGUAAGGCCAGUGAGCUUGAAUGUUGCCCUGCGAACCGAAAGACAGUUUUGUGCAUCAGCGUGGCCUGGGUACAGUUGCCCGUUACUCCUUCAGUGAGUGAAAGUAUCCUGAGUAAUCUGUGGGCCGAUUCAAUCAGUUAAAAGGCCUUGGAAGCAGAAUACAGACUCCACUGAAAAGAAGAAAUUGCACCUAUGGGCUGAAGCCUCAGCCGGGACCCAAGACUCCCAGCCUGCCUGUCCUGAUGCUGUCCUGGACAGGACUUUGGACCUGCUGGGGAGGUCCCCUCAGCCAGGCACGCAGUUCCUCCGCAUCAACUGGAAGUAUGAAAAGUGUAGGAAGCAUUUCAGCUGGUGUUUUGACAGCCCUUCCAUGUACCCAACCUUCCUGCUGUGACACCAGUGUUCAUCUAAGAGACACGAGAGUGGUGAGUUUGAUUCAGGACUUAAGGUGAGUACAAAAUCAAGAGUCCUGCGUACACUUCUGCAUUCUCCACCCCUGUUUCUUUGGCAGGAGUGUGAAACAGACGUGGAUUUGAUUCAGCUAGUGUUUCCUAAGUGGUUUUUGUGAGCAAGCAGUAGAAUGAUAUGAAAUACCUCCUGGAAAAGUGGGAACUGCUCCCAGCUAUCUCACCAAUGAACCCUGAGUUGAUUCUUUCCUUAUGACACUUAAAGAACUUCAAAUUUCUGAACAUUGUGUGCAAACCUGGGAACCUCACCUCUGAAAAUCAAAAUGUAUCAGGACCUCUCAGACAAGUUACAGGGACAUCAAGUCAGACAAAACUAAUAAAUAGGAAAGAGUUGGGAUGAUUCUGACUCUUUGUCUCAGAGCAUCAGGUCACUGUGAGACAUCCUGUAUGACAUGUUGGAGAGCUUUCCUGACUCGAGAAAAAGAGAGACUUUCUCUAACAGCCUUCUCAUUUCUCCCUUUGUGAAGGGUGAUCAGGUGAUCUGGCUGGAGCUUCAUUUGUGGGUGUUAAGGGAACCCUCGGAGAGAAGGUAGGAAGAGCAAGACAUGUUGUGUAGCCUCCAGAAGAGCCUUAAUCAUCAGAAAGCAUUGUGUCUCUGUUAUGGAUUUUAUCUAGAUGUCCCCAAAGCCUUGAGAGGUCAUAAGGGUUUUUGGGAGGUGGCUGAAUCUAGAGUGCUUAAUUGAUUCAUAGUAUACAGCUGUGAUUAAGAGUGGAUAAUUGCUGCAUGGAUUGGAUUGGCACUGCCCUAAUCAUGGUAGAUGAAAUAAAAUAUAAAGGACAAAAAAAGCUUCUCCCCCCCCCCCUCUCCUCUCAUUGCUUUUUCUGUUUUACUCUGACAUGAACUGUUGUACCUCUGUCAUGAGUCAUCCUGCCUUGGAACCCCUUGAUUAUGGACUGAAACCUCCAUUAACUGCGUUAAAUAAACCUUUCCCCCUUUAGCUUCAGGUGUUGGGUAUUUUGUCCCAGCAAGGAGAGAAAAUAACCAGCACAGUCUCCACAGACCAUGUAUGGCUGCUGCUGGAUUCUGAUCCCCUAGAACAAAGCAGAGAGAGAAUGGCUGUGAAACAAUGAAAGAGCUGUUCUGCCAAAAAACAACAACAGCAACAACAACAUGGCCGUUAAAUGUCCCUCCAGGAAGCACGGAUGCCUCUCCACAUUCCAACAGUUCCUCCUCCUGUGCUUAAAGAAUUAUUCAAAGAUGGCACCGGUUCCCACAUGACCUCCACCGUUGCUGGCACAGAAUGAUUUUUGGCUGCAGACAUGAAUUUGUCAGGGCUUCAGCUCCUCGCACUGGCCUUCCAAACAUUCUGUACCUGACAUGCUCGAGUGUGUGCUGCUGAGGAGAUGUGAUGUCAAUGCCACAUAGAAACAAAUACAAAACAUGCCUCGCCGCUUCCCAAAGCUCCGGCUGCACUAGUUGGUCAGGAUGGAUGCUGUCUAGACUUACCUCAUCCGCCUCAGAUUCUGAAGGGUCCCCUGUGAGAAAAGCACCUGGGACAAGAUUUCCUCUGAUAACAUCUUUCCACAGUAUGGUGUAAAAUGCUGCCCUGUAGAGCAGCGGUAUAAGAAAUUCUGUCAACUCAUUUGAAGACCUCCUAAAGAGAAUCUUCAACGAUUCUUGUUCUGACAUACGUGAGACAUGAGGCUGUGUUACUCAGAUUUCCAUUACUAUAAUAAAGUACAUGAGAUGAUCAACUUAUGAGGAGGAAACAAUUAUUUUGGCACAGUUUCAAAGGUUUCUUGGCAAAAGCACAUGCCAGGGAAAGCUGCUCAUCUCACACUCACAAGGAAGCAAAAGAGAAAGGCCCAGAAGGAGCGGGGGUCUCACCACCCUCUGUAGGGCUCACCUCAGGGACCUAACCUCUUCCCACAGGGCCCAGCCCCUCGGGGUUCCGCUGCCCCCCAAAACUGCCAGCUUUACCACACGGCAGCCUGCAGGGGCUCUGCUCUGUAACUCAGUGUCUCCCAGUUCUGGGACUGCUAUGUACUGGUUCCCGGAGGACAGGGAAGGGAGGAAAGCUAAACGUAUUGAAAAAGGUACAGGCUAUUUCACAUAGAGGCUGAGGGUGGGUGGCAACCAAAAAUGACUGAAUUCCAGAAUGCCUUAUGGAGUCUUCCUUCCAGAACUGCUGGGCUCCAAAUCUCAAUGACAUAGUACAUUUUCAGCUAUUGAAAGAGACUCAGCUCAUACAGCAGAAGUGUGUCACUAAAGGGUCUUUUUUUAAAAGAGAUGCUUCCAUGGAAAAAGUCAGAACUGACAUGGUUUGGGAGGUUAAAAAAGGUCCUGACACUGAUCUUUGUUUGCAGAGAAACAAAUGAUUCUGUCUGGAUUCUUCACAAUGGGGGUUAUAAGUUUAGCGAGUUUAGCAGCUCUGUGAUUCUCAU